RNAcentral lists this ribosomal RNA (468 nucleotides) under uncultured bacterium. RNAcentral's name for it is "partial 16S ribosomal RNA". It matches the Rfam family "Bacterial small subunit ribosomal RNA", at positions 28 to 507 of the family's 1533-position model. The record is from RNAcentral.
GACGAACGCUGGCGGCGUGCUUAACACAUGCAAGUCGAACGGAAAGGCCCUGCUUUUGUGGGGUGCUCGAGUGGCGAACGGGUGAGUAACACGUGAGUAACCUGCCCUUUACUUUGGGAUAACAUCAGGAAACUGGGGCUAAUACCGGAUAGGAGCUCCUGCUGCAUGGUGGGGGUUGGAAAGUUUCGGCGGUUGGGGAUGGACUCGCGGCUUAUCAGCUUGUUGGUGGGGUAGUGGCUUACCAAGGCUUUGACGGGUAGCCGGCCUGGGAGGGUGACCGGCCACAUUGGGACUGAGAUGCGGCCCAGACUCCUACGGGAGGCAGCAGUGGGGAAUAUUGCACAAUGGGCGGAAGCCUGAUGCAGCAACGCCGCGUGCGAGAUGACGGCCUUCGGGUUGUAAACCGCGUUCGCCUGUGACGAAGCGUGAGUGACGGUAAUGGGUAAAGAAGCACCGGCUAACUACGUG